Long non-coding RNA from Eriocheir sinensis (Chinese mitten crab), 8254 nucleotides. RefSeq lists it as uncharacterized. Lineage: Eukaryota; Metazoa; Arthropoda; Malacostraca; Decapoda; Varunidae. The transcript is spliced from 2 exons. The record is from RefSeq and is a predicted model, not a curated record.
UGUAAAUCGCUUGUCAGAUCUACAGAUUGGAACGAGAGAAAACGGAGAGAAAAGAUUAGGGUGAGCUGCAUCGUGUAAAUCGCUUGUCAGAUCUACAGAUAGGAACGAGAGAAAACGGAGAGAAAAGAUUAGGGUGAGCUGCAUCGUGUAAAUCGCUUGUCAGAUCUUCAGAUACGGAAAAACCAGAGAGAAAAGAUUAGGAAACAGAGUAAGAGAAAAGAUUAGGAUGCGAAUCAUGUCAAUCGCUGGUCAGUUCUUUUGAAUCGCUUAAAUCGCUUGUCAUUCAUCCACUGAGGCAGAAAGGAAACGGAAGGAAGAGGAAAGAUAUUACUAAGUCUCUUUUUAAACCUUUUAUCACCAUUUAUCUGAACACGAGGAAAAAAUAUAACGAAAAAAAAUAUAUAUAAGGAAAAAAACAGUAAGAUAAACCGUACUAUUUGCACUCCUACGGGUUUGAAUCGCUUAAAUCGCUUGUCAUUCAUCCACUCAGGCAGAAAGUAAACGGAAGGAGGAGGAAGGAUAUUACUAAGUCUCUCUUUAAACUGUUUAUCACCAUUUAUCCGAACACGAGGAAAAAAUGUAUAUAAGGAAAAAAAAUAGUAAGGUAAACUGUUCUAUUCGCACUCCGACGGUUUGAAUCGCUUAAAUCGCUUGUCAUUCAUCCACUCAGGCAGAAAGUAAACGGAAGGAGGAGGAAGGAUAUUACUGAGUCUCUUUUUAAACCGUUUAUCACCAUUUAUCCGAACACGAGGAAAAAAUAUAUAUAAGGAAAAAAAAUAGUAAGAUAAACUGUUUUAUUCGCACUCCUAUGGGUUUGAAUCGCUUAAAUCGCUUGUCAUUCAUCCACUCAGGCAGAAAGUAAACGGAAGGAGGAGGAAGGAUAUCACUAAGUCUCUUUUUAAACCGUUUAUCAUCAUUUAUCCGAACACGAGGAAAAAAUAUACAUAAGGAAAAAAACAUAGUAAGAUAAACCGUUCUAUUCGCACUCCGACGCUUCUUGCCGCAUUCCGCCACUCACGUCACGACUCCACACACUGACACACACAAAAGGAAAAACGGGAGAAAAAAAAAUAUCCAUCGUUUAAGUCGUUUUACUCGUUACAUUCUAGCCAAGACUUCUGCCCCCGCCUGCCUGCCUUCCUGCCUGCUGCCCCGCCCCGCCCCGCCCCGCCCCGCGCCGCCCCGCUUCGCCGCCGGGGCACACACACGUCUACACACCCAUCGUGCCUUUUUAGUUCUCUAACACGACCACACGACAACGCUGAAUCACAGGGAAGCAAGUGUCGCCGCUGCCGCCGCCGUUGCCGCCGCCGCCGCGCGAUUCACAGACCGAGCAGCGGAGCACGGAGGGGCGGGCGGGUUUGUGGUUUGCGGUUCUGUGGUGCGCGGCCAUCCCUCGAAAUACACGCGGUUUGGGACUCACGGUUGCGCACUUAGUGAUUUACGGGAUAAAAAUUCAUGGGAUAUUUAUUUACAAGUCCGCAGUGAAGAGAUUGUAUUAUGGAAGGAGAAAUAAGGUAUGCGAUUCCCUGGUGCGCGGCCAUCCCUCGAAAUACACGCUGUUUGAGACUCACGGUUGCGCACUUAGUGACCUAUGAGACAAAAAUUCAUGGGAUAUUUAUUUACAAGUCCGCAGUGAAGAGACUGUGUUAUGUUAUGGUUUGCAAUUCCCUGGUGCGCGGUCAACUCUCAAUUUGCACGAUUUUGGGACCCACGGUUGCCUACUCAGUGACUUAUGUGACAAAAAUUCAUGGGAUAUUAAUUUUAUUUACAAGUCCGCAGUGAGGAGAUUGUUUUAUGGAAGGAGAGAUAAGGUUUGCAAUUCCUUGGUGCGCGGUCAGCUCUCGAUUUGCACGAUUUUGGGACCCACGGUUGCCUACUCAGUGACUUAUGGGACAAAAAUUCGCCUGGUAGAUUGUGUUGCGAAAGAGAAUAUUAGGUUUGAAGUCAUCCCUCACUUUGCACGUUUCUGAGUCUCACGAUUUCGUAGGUGAAUUCUCGUUGAAAAGUGAGAGGGAAUGCUUCGUGGGACAUUAACUUACGGAAAUUUGUGUUGCGAAAGCGAAGAUAAAGCUCGCGGUUCGCUUCACACGUUAUUUUGGAAUCAUGGUUAAGGACUUUUUUUUUCUAAUUCUCCUGAAAAUUAAAACCUCGCGGGGCAUUUACAAACAAGUAGGCGGUGGAGAGUCUACGCUACGGACGUCCGCCGCUCCCUAACGUUACCCGUGUCCGCAUAUCAGCCAAGAAAAAUGUGUAAUAAGAAUAUAAGAACAUAAGUACAUAAGAACAUAGGGAAACUGCAAGAGGCCGUUGAUCAUAUACCUAACUGUUCUCUCUAUUCUUGAUUGCUACUGUAUACCCUUAAUGCACAGGAGAGAGGGUUCAAGCUGAAAUUCGUGGCUUUCGUACCUGAGCGAGACUCCAACGUGGGCCUGUGAGAUUGAGGGAUAGCCGCGCCCCGCCUGAACCGCCCCCCGCCCCGCCCCGCCCCGCCGCCCCGCCCUUCUAGACAUUGUUCCGUGCCUUUUCAUAAUAUAUCCGGAAGCUGCUGAUGCCCGCGGGUGUAACAAUGAACAAUGAUACUGAUAGGAGCUCGCGGGUGUGUGAAUAUAAUGAAAAAACAAUGAUAAUGACGAUGAUGAUAAUGAUGUUGAAGAUGACUUAAUGACUACCACUUAACGCUGAGGCCAGGCCAGACUCAGCACUCAGCACUCAGCCACUCCCAGCACCGCAGCACCACCGCAGGACACGGAGCAGCGCACUGAGGCCAUAAUCCCGCCCUUUCUCACAUUCUAAGUAAGCCUCAGCGAUAGUUAGACUUAUAUUAGUCGCUCACAACUCUGUUUAUCACUUGCACACACACACCCUCUAUCUAUCACUCCGUCUUUCUAUCUCUCUAUCUAUCUAUCGCAGCGGGCCAAGCUCUCCGCCCUGCCCCAUCUCACCCCGCCUAGCCAAAUGCCUCGCCCUUCGCCGCUACAGCAAGGGGACUUCGUGACCCGCUUACCUCUUCGCCAGUCUCCGUCGCGGCAACGUCUGCUACCACUACCGCCCCUGCCCGAAGCGCGGACGAGAGACCAACGAAGAUUAUAGACUGCUAGUAAGGGCAACGUAUAAGCGUGUGAACCGUAUCAGGGUUUAUAGUGAAUCGUGUGACAGACUCUCUUGUUUGCGGCGGAGAAGAAAGAAAGGCCGUGCAAAGUUAAACCGAAGUGCAAGAGAGAGACAGACUGAUCCACAAAGACUUCGCAUGUGUUAGCUGCAGUGUUUCAGCAUCACACGUUCGUACAAACUCUCGGGAGAUGCAAGAGAGACAGUGCAGAGGCGAGGUUUCGUUCAGCAUGGCUCGCACGUCGCUAUACUCGGCCCAGAGAGGAAGGAAGGCGCAUGAUAAGACCUUCCUUCCCGCCCAUUCGCAGUAGCUUCUAACGUCACGCCCAAGUACUGCUGCUGCUGCUGCUGCUCCAUUCUGUGAUCACGAUAUUGCCACUGGCCGCCAAUCCCUCCUCACGUUUGUUAAUGUACAGAAAGUUUAUUGAUAUACGAACCUUUUGGGAGGCCCAGACGAGAGGGCCGAGUGUGAGGGUCGGUGUGCCAGCCAGUCGCUUGAACCUUGGCCACGCUCAGACAAGUCACCGCGCAAUGGUCCAUAAAAUUCAGUCUGUAAGUGAUUUAAUCUGAAACUUAUCUAUUCUGAAACUAAUCUAAUCUGAAGCUAAUCCAGUCUGAAACUAAACUACUCUAAAACUAAUCUAACCUGAAACUAGUCUGUAUUAAUCUGAAAAACAAGUAUCAGGAGUGAGAUCCUUGAGUGCCGUGCUGGGGCGAGGGAAUUUGAACCCCUGGCCCUGCGCUGGCUUGCACUCCGCCCCGCACACCGGCGCCUUGGUCACACUCACACCGUAUGCAAGUUUCCGCUUGUGUAUUCUAUACGUUUCUCUUUGCGUUUCGGUCUGUGGGCCCCGAGCGACUGAACCCGAGGAGGAAAAGGAGACCGACUGUACCCGAUCUUUGAGGUGGAAGAGGAAGAGCCACAAGAAGAAUAGCAAAAGGAAGAGAAAGAGAGAGAUCAACGACGACAAGAGGAUAUAAGAAGGAAAAGUAUUAUUACCACCGACCGUACCCGAUCGUUAAGGUGGAAGAGGAAGAAUUAUACAAAAAACAAAAAGAACGAAAACCAUUGCUAUCAACACUAUCACCUCGACCGACUGUACCAUGCAGCCCGUUGAGGAGAGAAGUAAGCAUAACGAAAGCACUAUUGACACACACACACACACACACACACACACACACACACACACACACACACACACACAGGGCCAGUUUUACAGUCCAAUACAGCAAGUUGGUAAGCUCCCCAACCAAACACGAAAAUUUUAGGAAACUCUACCGGAAAACUUAUUAGCAUCUGGUAUUGAGUAGAGAUAACGGAUCAUUGUGGAGAAGACAGUUUGGUUGGGGCGCUUACAAUGACCCUGUGUUGGACUGUCGAAGUAGCCCUAUCCAACCCCAUAAAACAAAGCUGCUUGGACGGGUUUCAUAAGGGGUCAGCUCUCACGGCCUCGCUCGGGGCACACAGACCCGCCGUUCCCCCUCGCUACGGACGUUAAGGUAGCGAGCUUCGGUCCUACAGGUAACACGGUGUACAGAGAGAGGCUGCCUGUCCUUCCUCCCUUCGGCCCGUCACGGCGAUACGAGGGACAGAGGGGGAGGAGGAGGCGAUGCUGGGGUCAAUGCGUAGAGACAGAAGGCGGACGGGGCAGACAUCGCGAUCCCUGCAGUGACGAAACUUGCAGAGGAGGAAAAGCUUUGUUUCUUCUCACGUAAUUGACUGCUCUUUCGGCCACCUCUUCUGAUUCUUUACAGGAGCAGCGAGUAGCGGGCUUUUUUUUAUUGUUGUUUACUUUUUUGUGCCCUUGUGCUGUCUCCUUUGUUGUAAAAGAAAAAAAAAAUACCGAGAAGGCUUUACGAUCUCAAUGAUGAAAAGCUAAAGUAUUCACCUCCCUCCUCCCCCCCCGCCCCCCGUCACUGCCCUUCUCCCUCCCUCUCUCCCCCUAGCCGUGUCGGGCCGUAGAGGAGGGCGAGGCAGAGUCUGUGUACACUGGCGAGGAGAAGCACGGAAAAAUGUCGCCAUUAUCCUUUUAGGGGUGAAAGGUUUUAUUCUUGAUCCCACGAAAUAACUCACGCCUCCCUCUUCUCUAGCUCUGUUUCUCUGGCUGUCUCUAUAUCUCACGGAAUCACUCACUCCUCUGUCUCUCUAUAGAUAUCCCUGCCUCUAUCUCUAUACAUCUCUAUCUCUUUCUCUACAUUCCUAUAUAUUUCUAUAUCUCCCUACUUCCAUCUCUAUCUCCAUCUUUCUACACACUUCUCUAUCGUUCUUUAUCUCUAUCUCUGUCUCUCGCCCCCUCCGCCUCGCCCCGCUCCGCGCAUGGCCAGUUUAUAGUACACACGAACACACAUACACACACACGCGGGGUACAAGAGAAAAGAAAUACUAAUAAUAAUAAAAAAAAAACUUAUAUAUAGUGUUUAAAUAAAUAUAAAUAUAUAAAUAUAAAUAUAUAUAUAAAUAAAUAAAACCGCUCGAUGACAAUACGUAUAUAAAUAUCUCUCUCUCUCUCUAUAUAUAUAUAUAUUGUUUUAUGGUUUGAUGUCCAGAGAUUCAAAGUUUUCCUCCGAAGUUUCUUUUAUAUAUACAGUAAGCCGCACCUUCGUAGACACAGCCGGGUGACCAGAGGCAGGGCAGGGGCGUGCGGCAGCCUCCAUCUCGGGCGCUGCGCUGUUACCCACAGACCCUGCUACUCAAAUUGAUGCCGAUACGAUAGUGCUUUUUUGUGCUCUGGGCAGGUCAGGCUCUCGAAUAAGUACCCAGAUGCUGACACAACAGUGUUUCCCGUGCUCUGUACAUCGUCAGAAUCCCGAGAAACAUGGAAACAUGGAAAUGCAGGCAACAGAACUGCAAUGCCUCGCUUGAAUUGGUAGACCGUUAUUUCUAAUUCUUAUGUUGGUUUGUACCUCAAAGAAUUUAGAGUGAUGGACAUUAUUGAACCUCUUCAGGUACUUGAAGACCUGAAUUAGAUUUCCUCUUAAACGUCUCUUUCUCAGCGUCAGGAGGUUUAGUGUGCUGAGUCGCACCUGGAGCCCAAAACACACUAUUACAGCAGCAUCAGUUAGGAUUUCUAGGGGCUCUUUUGACAACACCAUGGCGCCCGUGAUGCAGGCGGCCACACCCUCCUGUCCCACGGCUCCGGUGACAACGCCCUAUACAUAGCUGAGGUCAUACUCGUGCCGGGCCCCGCAUCGCCGCCCCGCAGUACGCCGUCACCGAUACCAGCGCCACAUUGUACCACUCACUCACGUCCAUCUCAUUAUCACGCAUCCAACCUGACACGGGGCACGAACGGGGACACACAGCCAGCCAGCCGCCGCUGCCUCCACCACGAACGUCUUUUUUUCUGCAGGGGAGGCAGAUCAAGGGCGACGAGCAACACAGCCACCUCGUAACCUGCUCUCGGCUUGUAUAUGUUUGUGUAUCAAAGGUUAAUCUGGACUUGUAACUCAUAUUCAGCAUCUUGAGUCCACCUAACACGGUGACAAGCAACACAGCCAAUUGGUGUCACUAUCGGCUGUCACGCCUCCGUGGUCUAGUGGUCAGCGUGCCUAGCUACGAAUCCGCGGCCCCGGGUUCGAAUGCCGGCCUGGACAGUCGGCGUGCAGCCCACCCAGGUGUUCAUUCUCCCUUUCGGGCUGGUGGAUAAAUGUGUACCUGGGGACACCUGGGGAAAGUAAACUGUGGUAACCUGGAUGUCACACUGCCCCUGUGUCCCGCGGUGAUAGGCUCUCCCACCACAGGCUCAGAGGGUAAUGCGACGGAGAUGAGCACCGCCGCCACGCGCAGCCAUCGCGUAUGCCCCAAAAUUUACCUAUCGGCUCCUCUGUGUAUGUACUGUUGUAUACGCGAGUCCUGGCUGGCUGGCUGGCCCUAGUGCCUCCCGGCCCGUGUCCUGCCCAUGCUUUUCGCUCCUUCUCUCCUGUAAAGGUUGUUCACGGAUUUAAAAAGACUUUGAGAAUACCUGAUAUGGAUUGCGUCUGUGUCGUUGUUGUUUUACGUUGAUACAUUUACACGGACGAGACUUUGAAAUAUAUAUAAGAAAACCAUGUAAUAAAGUUUUUUCCAGGUUAAUGAUAUAAUAGUAAUAAUGAUAACUUUGCACAUGUGUUUGUAUGUUUGUUAUAAGGGAAUGGGCGACUCACGAGCCCACUUAUACAUUACGAAUUCGGAGGACAGAACGAAAUGAACCUUGCAUCGUCUUAUCAUUGCUCUUACCGUUGUUAUAAGUUCAGGAACGUAGAAAUGCGAUAGAUGACGUAAAAUUAAGAGCUGAUAAGGGAGUCAGUAAUUAUCCAACGCUUUGUCGGUAUUAAUAAACCUCAUCAUUAGGCUUAACGAAGGGGUGGGAUUGGACUCUUUAGCUCCCCAGCUCAACGAACACACGAACACACACACUUACCGUUGAUCGCAUAGGAAGAAUUGAUUUAUUAUGGUUAUUGUAUCGCGGUCUGGUCUGCCCAUCCGUUUGUCUGCCUGUCUGUCUGUUAGUCUCUCAAUCGGCCUGUUUGUCUGUCUGUCUAAAGCCGUGAAAUUUUUUAAUAUAGGCUAUGAAGGAAAUUACUUUUUUCCCUAUUUUUUUCCUUAAUUCUCUUGUUUUUCUUUUUUUUUCGUAUAUUUUCCUUUUUGCUAAUCUUUUAUUUAUUUCUGUUUUUUCUUCUUCCAUUUUUCUUUUUUAUCAAUUAUCUCUUAUUUAUUUUCUUCCUGUUUCUUUUCCUCCAUUUUUUCUGUUUUUCUCAAGUCUCGCUUAUAUUUUUCCUUGUUUCUUUUUCAUUUUUUCUUCCUUUUUCUGACUUUUUUCUUCCUUCUUUCUCACUAUUUCUUUUUACGUUUUGUCUUAGCUCCUACUUUUAUUCUUACUCUCAAUCUCCUCUUACUUUUCACACAUUUUCUUACCUUUUCUCUUCUCCUUUUUUAUUUUUAUUUCUUGCUGUUUUCUUAUCGUUUUUCUUUCAUCUGUUUCAUCUCGGCGACGACUAACAAGACAUUGAAUUGUAACCUUUUUUCUGUACCUCAUCGGGAGAAAAACUAAUGUGUUCUUAAUUUGGUUAUCUCUCUCUCUCUCUCUCUCUCUCUCUCUCUCUCUCUCUCUCUCUCUCUCUCUCUCUCUCUCUCUCUCUCUCUCUCUCUCUCUCUCUCUCCAUA